CACUCCUCUAUAAAAGCUUGAUUCAAUAGUUUUGGAUGAGAAGUGGAAUGCACAGUGACAGACAGCAUCUCAGAACUUGUGGAGAAAAUGUAUAAAUCCCUUUUAAAAUUGAUUCUAGAGAAACAUUGCAAAUAUGGUUGGAAUAAAGCUGCUUGUGCUUCUUUUGAUUAUUGAUGUGGGAAGCUGUCAAGUGGAAACUACAAAUGCUACCACAACAUCCACAGCUGCUCCAAUAGCAACCACAAUUGCUCCUACAACAACCACACCUGCACCUGAACCAAUGCCAGUUGAUCCUACAACAACCACAGUUCCCACCACAACUACAGUUGCUUCUUCAACUGACAUCUGCUACAAGAUCAGUAUUCUCACAAUCUGUGUAGCUCUUAUCACCCAAAUACUUUUCUAAAAUGAAUGUCUUGUUUUUUUCUUGUAUGGUUUAUAAUAUAAUAUGGAUAUGUCACUUUGUAUUCAUAUAACAAGGCAUUAGAAAAUCCGCUUCAAAAUGGCAUGUAACUUUGGUUCAAAUGUUGUGAAAUGUUCAGGGUAGGCUAGAUUCUUUAGAUCGAGAAUGUUAUAUAUAUAUACAUAUAUAUAUAUAUAUAUAUAUACAUAUAUAUGUAUAUAUAUUGAUUAUAAUGCUUUCCAAAAAGUAUAAUAUUAGAUACCAUAUCACACCAAACCUACAGUAGGAUGAAGGAUGUUGGAUGAAGAAAUCUUGAGUCUGUACAUUGCACUGUCCCUUAUUUAAAAUAGCUAAAAUAAUUUGUGUGUUUUACAUAGAAAGAUUCACAAGCCUUAAUUGUAUUUUACUGCGACUGCCUUCAUCAAUAGAAGGUGUGUUUUGUAUUUAUAUGUGUUGAUUAUUAUACUAUUCAGGUAAUAUAACAUUAAAAAAUCUGCUUUUCCUUUAA
Hypomesus transpacificus is the source of this 911-nucleotide long non-coding RNA. RefSeq lists it as uncharacterized. Lineage: Eukaryota; Metazoa; Chordata; Actinopteri; Osmeriformes; Osmeridae. The record is from RefSeq and is a predicted model, not a curated record. The transcript has 3 exons.